UUUUAUGGAGAGUUUGAUCCUGGCUCAGGAUGAACGCUGGCGGCGUGCCUAAUACAUGCAAGUCGAGCGAACGGACGAGAAGCUUGCUUCUCUGAUGUUAGCGGCGGACGGGUGAGUAACACGUGGAUAACCUACCUAUAAGACUGGGAUAACUUCGGGAAACCGGAGCUAAUACCGGAUAAUAUUUUGAACCGCAUGGUUCAAAAGUGAAAGACGGUCUUGCUGUCACUUAUAGAUGGAUCCGCGCUGCAUUAGCUAGUUGGUAAGGUAACGGCUUACCAAGGCAACGAUGCAUAGCCGACCUGAGAGGGUGAUCGGCCACACUGGAACUGAGACACGGUCCAGACUCCUACGGGAGGCAGCAGUAGGGAAUCUUCCGCAAUGGGCGAAAGCCUGACGGAGCAACGCCGCGUGAGUGAUGAAGAUCUUCGGAUCGUAAAACUCUGUUAUUAGGGAAGAACAUAUGUGUAAGUAACUGUGCACAUCUUGACGGUACCUAAUCAGAAAGCCACGGCUAACUACGUGCCAGCAGCCGCGGUAAUACGUAGGUGGCAAGCGUUAUCCGGAAUUAUUGGGCGUAAAGCGCGCGUAGGCGGUUUUUUAAGUCUGAUGUGAAAGCCCACGGCUCAACCGUGGAGGGUCAUUGGAAACUGGAAAACUUGAGUGCAGAAGAGGAAAGUGGAAUUCCAUGUGUAGCGGUGAAAUGCGCAGAGAUAUGGAGGAACACCAGUGGCGAAGGCGACUUUCUGGUCUGUAACUGACGCUGAUGUGCGAAAGCGUGGGGAUCAAACAGGAUUAGAUACCCUGGUAGUCCACGCCGUAAACGAUGAGUGCUAAGUGUUAGGGGGUUUCCGCCCCUUAGUGCUGCAGCUAACGCAUUAAGCACUCCGCCUGGGGAGUACGACCGCAAGGUUGAAACUCAAAGGAAUUGACGGGGACCCGCACAAGCGGUGGAGCAUGUGGUUUAAUUCGAAGCAACGCGAAGAACCUUACCAAAUCUUGACAUCCUUUGACAACUCUAGAGAUAGAGCCUUCCCCUUCGGGGGACAAAGUGACAGGUGGUGCAUGGUUGUCGUCAGCUCGUGUCGUGAGAUGUUGGGUUAAGUCCCGCAACGAGCGCAACCCUUAAGCUUAGUUGCCAUCAUUAAGUUGGGCACUCUAAGUUGACUGCCGGUGACAAACCGGAGGAAGGUGGGGAUGACGUCAAAUCAUCAUGCCCCUUAUGAUUUGGGCUACACACGUGCUACAAUGGACAAUACAAAGGGCAGCGAAACCGCGAGGUCAAGCAAAUCCCAUAAAGUUGUUCUCAGUUCGGAUUGUAGUCUGCAACUCGACUACAUGAAGCUGGAAUCGCUAGUAAUCGUAGAUCAGCAUGCUACGGUGAAUACGUUCCCGGGUCUUGUACACACCGCCCGUCACACCACGAGAGUUUGUAACACCCGAAGCCGGUGGAGUAA
RNAcentral lists this ribosomal RNA (1457 nucleotides) under Staphylococcus aureus. Its description in RNAcentral is "bacterial SSU rRNA". It matches the Rfam family "Bacterial small subunit ribosomal RNA". Lineage: Bacteria; Bacillati; Bacillota; Bacilli; Caryophanales; Staphylococcaceae. The record is from RNAcentral.